Musa acuminata AAA Group (dessert banana) is the source of this 2763-nucleotide RNA transcript. RefSeq lists it as uncharacterized. NCBI's taxonomy places the organism in Eukaryota, Viridiplantae, Streptophyta, Magnoliopsida, Zingiberales, Musaceae. The record is from RefSeq and is a predicted model, not a curated record. The transcript has 6 exons.
CUAAGUUACUAACAACCACCCCUGUUUGCUUUCCUCAUGCACAAAGAUAACCCCCCUUGCAUCGGGGCGUUAAAUUUUAGAGGUAGGGGUAUUUCGGUAAUAUAAUGUUAGAUGGAGCCGUUCUUUCCUUAACCCAAUUCCGUUCCCCCUCUUCUAAAUCUCUUCCUCUCCUGCAAACCGCUACAUUUCUGUCUCGUCCGCCUCUUCACGUCUUCCAGGCGCCGUACCUCUCGCUCUGUUCGGAGGACGAAAGAUUGAAGUAGAACCGCGUUUCUGUUGAAGGACGCCGCCAUCGAUGCGCCUCUCCGAGACCCCUAUGCCAUCCGUCGAACGAAUCGAAGCGAAGCUGCUCUGUGAAUCUCGUUCGGCGUCAGACAUGAUGAGGUUCGCUGCGAUCUCUGUCUGCAUCCCUCUGCUUCCGUGUUCGUCUGAUGGGUCCCAACUGGCAAGCUUCUUUGCUCUUGUUCUUCGGAGGCCUUGUUGCUUGGGACCGAUGUCAUCUUCUGCCUUUUGAUUGACUAGAUGUUCGGUCGGAGGCGGAUGCCAUGGAUGUGGGGGAGCGUUUCUCCAAAUGGGGGGUGGGGUUUUGCUUUCCAUGUAUAUUUUGUCGGACCUCCGAUGUCCUCUGCUGGUUCUUAGGGCGCUCUCAUAGCCCGUAGUGGGCUUUGCGGUCGAAAAAACCGCGAGGUUUUCAUUAUGGAUCGCCAAAUGUUCCACCUUUUCUUCCUCUUUUGCUUUUUUUUGCGCUGUUUGGAUGAGUCGGCCCAUCUCAUUGUAGAUUUUUGUGGUUUCUGAUCGAUGUAGCGCGGUUUUAGUGUUCUGGUUGUCUUUCGCAGAGAAAUGGCACGAGUUUGCUUCUUUCUUUGGAUUUGAGUUGGUUCCGUGCUUUUCACUUGUUGCGCUGCCUAGAAACUGCGAGCACCGUCAUCUGCUGCUUCAUGUCGCGCUGCUCUUCUCUUCUUAUAUUCAGUCAAGGAAACAUCUUCAGUGUAACGUCUGCAGUUUGUAAGAGAAGAUGUGCCUUGUAGAUUAGUCUUCGUUUUCCCCCGCUUCUGUUCUCAAUCGAGUUCGAAGGAUGUGUUGCAAGUAUUUUCUCAAGGAAUCAAUCCACUCCUCCAUUGAUUUGAGCGAAAAAGAACCAACUCUUUUGCUUUCAACAGAUUUGCAAUCGACGGAUCUAUACUUGGUUUCCUUCUCCCUGUGGACGAUCGUCGUCUUCUUCUCAUGCUAUCUAUGGGAGUUGUACCAGAGAGUAAGCAGCCCGGAUGUCCUUCCCCUCGGCAAUGGAAAGAAGCACAGCUUGAGAACCUCCAAGGAAGACGACGCCGAUGAAGCUGGCAGAAUCGCAAACCAUUCCCCCUCGGAAGCCAAAUCCUCGAGGUCGAGAUCCGCCUCCUGGUCGGCCAACCCGUCACCGACGAGAGACCACCAUUUGCCGCACAUCUCCUACCAGGCGCAGUCUGACGCCGGACCGCUCCUCACUUCAGGCUCGUUAUUUCCAUUCACCUCUGCCGGACCAGCGACAGCUGAGAACCACCACCACAUCGACGGGGUGGGCCACGGCGGAGGCGGCGACGUUCUCCUCCGGUGGGGGCACAAGAAGCGGUCGCGGGGACCGAGAACGGAGGGCCGUGCAGCGGCGGCGGCGGCGGCGGCGGCUAUGCCACCGCCCUGUGGGCCGUACUCCAAAGUGGGUUACCUCAGGCCGUCCACGCCCGUCCGUGCUGCAACGGCAUCUCUUGCCAACAGCCGGGCCGUGGAGGAGCGAUCGGGAGGUGCACCACGAUCCGAAAAGCGCUUGCCGCAAGACCCACCGGCGAAGGCGAAUCUGGAUGCGGAAGCCGGCGGCGCCGCCGCGACGGAGAAGCCGAAUCUGGACCGUUUCAUGUGGCCGCGGAUCUACGUCUCCCUCUCCAGGAAGGAGAAAGAGGACGACUUCUUGGCGAUGAAGGGGACGAAGCUUCCCCAGAGGCCCAAGAAACGGGCCAAGAACAUCGACAGGUCUCUCCAGUAUUGCUUUCCAGGGAUGUGGCUGUCGGACUUGACGCGGGGACGGUAUGAAGUAAAGGAAAAGAUGCGUGUGAGAAAGAAAUAGUGACGGAAGAGAGAAUCAAAUAGGCCUUUUUCGAUGUUGCAUUAUAUCACUCUCUUAAAGAAAGCAAAGCUUAGCUGGUAGUAGAUCAUGAAAGACACUUGAUGAAAUCAAGUUAGAGCUGCUGUGGUGGUGGUGGUGGUGGUUGUGGUGAUGGAUUGGAAGCAAAGGGGGUUGAAGGGAAUAAUGGGGAGCGAUUCCGAGUGAAGGCUGCGGGAAGCGGAACGAGCCGUGUUGAUCCGAAGAAAUGGAGGGCGGGGGCGCAAACAAGGAGGCAGGAGGAUGCGUCCGCCAUUGCCCGCUCGAAGUUGUGCUUCUUGUUCUCGUUUUUUUAGGUGUCUCCGGCUUUUUGGCUCUCGUGUUGUCCUUACUCCCUUUGCACAAUCUCAAGUGUUUUUGGUUUGGUUUCUUUCCGAGAGCGGGUGCAUGGGGGCCCCGCCGCCCAGGGGACGAUAGCCUCUCAUACAGCAUAGAUGAAUUCUUCAGGAGAUCCAAUAAGCCUCUCGAAUGCUUGAUUCCCCCCCAACCCAACUCACUGGCACAUCCUAACCGAUGAAGCAAGUUGCGCAACCAAAUGUGGCAUAGAUGGGUUUUUCGUGACGCCGCAAAUAAUUUUGGGAGAAGAUGGUUGUAAUUGGUAUUCGGAAUCAAACACACUAUUAUUGGUUUGA